Molecule: non-coding RNA, 560 nt
Organism: Vigna umbellata (rice bean)
Lineage: Eukaryota; Viridiplantae; Streptophyta; Magnoliopsida; Fabales; Fabaceae
Source: RefSeq, a predicted model, not a curated record
AAUUCAGUUAUUUAACAAGUUAUUUCUUAUACUUUCUACAGGAAUUUUGCAAAAAGGCAGUUGACAUGGUUUCGCAAUGAAAAGAUAUACCAGUGGCUUGAUGGUUCUAAACCUCUGGAAACCAUUCUCAGUUUCAUUAAUGGCGCAUACCAUGACUGGAAUGGAAGUCUUCCUGUGCCUGAACACUUAAAAAUGUCGAGAGAUAUUUCUAAUCGUCGAGAAGAAAAACAUCUAAAGUCUUACCGCACCAGAAAUAGGCAUUUUGUGAAGGGGGAAGAUUGUUCUCAUAUUCUUAAUUGGAUAAGCAAGACUCAAAGGUGAAGUGAUGGAUAUUAUUUUCCUUUUGCAUUCUUGAACUGACUUUGAAUUUCAAAUUCUAGAGUUUCCCGGUCAGAGAGAAAGUUUUGUUUUCAUUAACUUUUCUUCAUUACAUCCUUUUGUCAUCUGUAAUGUAAUAUUGUUUUCUGGAAUAUUAUAAUGACAGCUGAACUUGGAAGUUUAAGUUCUUUCCAUCCUUUCACUUGUGAACCAGUGUGUGUGUGAGAGAAGAAUAAAAUUUU